This 515-nucleotide ribosomal RNA is filed under the name uncultured bacterium. RNAcentral's name for it is "partial 16S ribosomal RNA". It matches the Rfam family "Bacterial small subunit ribosomal RNA", at positions 28 to 523 of the family's 1533-position model. The record is from RNAcentral.
GAUGAACGCUGGCGGCGUGCCUAAUACAUGCAAGUCGAGCGAAUGGAUUAAGAGCUUGCUCUUAUGAAGUUAGCGGCGGACGGGUGAGUAACACGUGGGUAACCUGCCCAUAAGACUGGGAUAACUCCGGGAAACCGGGGCUAAUACCGGAUAACAUUUUGAACCGCAUGGUUCGAAAUUGAAAGGCGGCUUCGGCUGUCACUUAUGGAUGGACCCGCGUCGCAUUAGCUAGUUGGUGAGGUAACGGCUCACCAAGGCAACGAUGCGUAGCCGACCUGAGAGGGUGAUCAGCCACACUGGGACUGAGACACGGCCCAGACUCCUACGGGAGGCAGCAGUAGGGAAUCUUCCGCAAUGGACGAACGUCUGACGGAGCAACGCCGCGUGAGUGAUGAAGGCUUUCGGGUCGUAAAACUCUGUUGUUAGGGAGGAACAAGUGCUAGUUGAAUAAGCUGGCACCUUGACGGUACCUAACCAGAAAGCCACGGCUAACUACGUGCCAGCCGCCGCGAUAA